This 270-nucleotide ribosomal RNA is filed under the name uncultured bacterium. RNAcentral's name for it is "partial 16S ribosomal RNA". It matches the Rfam family "Bacterial small subunit ribosomal RNA", at positions 85 to 353 of the family's 1533-position model. The record is from RNAcentral.
AAGAUGGCGACCGGCGCACGGGUGAGUAACACGUAUCCAACCUGCCGAUAACUCCGGAAUAGCCUUUCGAAAGAAAGAUUAAUACCGGAUGGCAUACGAAUAUCGCAUGAUAUUUUUAUUAAAGAAUUUCGGUUAUCGAUGGGGAUGCGUUCCAUUAGUUUGUUGGCGGGGUAACGGCCCACCAAGACUACGAUGGAUAGGGGUUCUGAGAGGAAGGUCCCCCACCAUUGGAACUGAGACACGGUCCAAACUCCUACGGGAGGCAGCAUG